AGAACGAACGCUGGCGGCAGGCCUCAAACAUGCAAGUCUAGGGGGUGUAGCAAUACAUCACCGGCGGACGGGUGCGUAACGCGUGGGAAUAUACCUAUUGGUUCGGAACAACUGAGGGAAACUUCAGCUAAUACCGAAUAAGUCCUUACGGAGAAAGAUUUAUCGCCAAUAGAUUAGCCCGCGUUCGAUUAGCUAGUUGGUGGGGUAACGGCCCACCAAGGCGACGAUCGAUAGCUGUUCUGAGAGGAAGAUCAGCCACACUGGGACUGAGACACGGCCCAGACUCCUACGGGAGGCAGCAGUUGGGAAUCUUGGACAAUGGGGGAAACCCUGAUCCAGCCAUGCCGCGUGAGUGAUGAAGGCCUUCGGGUUGUAAAACUCUUUCGCGCACGACGAUAAUGACGGUAGUGCGAGAAGAAGCGUCCGGCUAACUUCGUGCCAGCAGCCGC
This 449-nucleotide ribosomal RNA is filed under the name uncultured bacterium. Its description in RNAcentral is "SSU rRNA". It matches the Rfam family "Bacterial small subunit ribosomal RNA", at positions 26 to 518 of the family's 1533-position model. The record is from RNAcentral.